This 335-nucleotide small nuclear RNA is filed under the name Canis lupus dingo (dingo). RNAcentral describes it as "7SK RNA (ENSCAFG00020025546.1)". It matches the Rfam family "7SK RNA". Rfam says of the family: 7SK was discovered as an abundant small nuclear RNA in the mid-70s but a possible function has only recently been suggested. Two independent studies have found that 7SK RNA binds the CDK9/cyclin T complex (known as elongation factor P-TEFb). P-TEFb activates transcription by phosphorylating the C-terminal domain of RNA polymerase II. Lineage: Eukaryota; Metazoa; Chordata; Mammalia; Carnivora; Canidae. The record is from RNAcentral.
GUAUGUGAAGGCCAUCUGUGUGACACGUCUCCUCUGAGGGUCAGGGUUGUUUCAGCUGAGCUGGUGGGAAAGGCAGCUGCCCCCUCUUUUUCUCACCAUUCCACCUGAAAAUUCUACCUUUGGGCAUCUGCCAAAGAUGCACAUUUGGUCAAGAAGCACAACCUUCCAAGGAGAAGGACCAUUUAUCUUAUCAAGGGUAUUCAAGGAUUUGUACUUUCCUGCUCCAAGUUCUAAACAGAUUUAUUUAGGACCAGCAGGAAGAUGAUAUAGGACAGUAAAUUUUCCAAGACAGCCCUUCUCUGAAAGCCUGUUCCAGAGACUGACAGCCCUCACAG